RNAcentral lists this long non-coding RNA (405 nucleotides) under Oryza sativa Indica Group (long-grained rice). RNAcentral's name for it is "lncRNA OsMH63_02G017950". The record is from RNAcentral. Lineage: Eukaryota; Viridiplantae; Streptophyta; Magnoliopsida; Poales; Poaceae.
AGUUCACAGCAGGUUGCAACACCCAGCCACAAUCUUGUACUGUCCAAUACCCCCCAGAGUUGUGCACAAAGUAGAAAAAGGAAGGCAACUGGCACCUUGACUACCACUACUUCAGCCUCUCAGUCAAAGGCAACCAAGCCGACAAAAAAGGCACAAAUGGAGCCCCUCCAAAUUGUCAGAGUGAAUGCAAGGGCAAAAAUUUCUACACCUUCUGGUGGCUCAGCUAGGGUUGAUUUGCAGGCCAAUGUUGCAGGCUCCAACAGCUCUACAAGUGCAGCUGUCACUGUUACUUCAGGGAAAGCAUCUGUAUCUGUUUCAGCUCAAGAACCUGCUAGGACAACUACAAAGAACAAAGCUAAAGUACCACUGCUUCUUCUCCCUCCAUGGGAAUCUGACAAACUAUGA